CUUUGAUGUGAAUUUUUGUCAUUCAAAUUUCAUCCUUACCUAGUGAUCUUUAUUACAUUUGGUAUUGUAGAGAUAGAGAAAAGAUGAAGAAAUAGGAAAGGACUAGGGCAUCAAGGCCACAUUUUUCAUCAAUCAGUUUUUCGAUAGAGAAAUGGAGACAUUUCGGUGUCUGUGGCAGUGACGAAGUCACACAGUAGUCGGUGCAGUGGGGGGCCAAGUUUCUUACUGGGAGAUGGUGGUGGACGUGCUAUGCUAACGUAUCGACGAGAAAACUUUCAUGUUCUUUCUUCUCCAUUUCAGGAAAGGUAUAUAGUGCUCUUCUCUCAACAUGUAAAUAUUUUUGUCUGGGUUACAUCUUUUUUCUGUUCUUAUUUGUUUUAUUAGUCCGUGGUAGCAGACUCACCAUUCUUGAAGAGGUCAAGGUAUUGGAUCACACAGGGCGGUGAAGAUUCUACUGGGACUUCCUUAUAUCAAUUGAAGUGAAUGUAAUUUUCAUUUGGUGAAUUGCAAUACUAAUUUAUGUGGCAUCGACGCUUAUAAUCAUAGGCGUGUUUGGUGUCUGAUACGUUCCCGUAUUCGUCGCCUACAAAAUAUAGAUACAUGUGAUUACAUUGAAUUAUAUUAUUUUUUAAAAUAAUUGUCGGUGUUCAGAUGUUAGUGUCUCUGUGUAUAUUCCGAUGCUUUAUACAUGCCAAUACAUUUAAUACCCAUUCCAAACCAUAUUCAUUGAGUAACUUGGUCUGCGCAAAUAUACAUUUAAAUUAGUCAGCUAAGUUAAGGGGCCAUAUGGCCUUUCUAAACUGCAACGAUCAUUUCAUGUCUUAAUCACAUUGAUUUUUUUGUUGUAACAAAGUCACGUUGAAGUAAUUUACUAUUGCUUUCAGAAAUAAAACUUUCUUUUGUCCACUACCUAAAUUUUACCCCACUUCAUGUUCAUAUAUUGCCUUCUCUUUGGUUUCUUGCUUUGCAAUAGAGCGAUUGGAAGAUGAUGAAAAUGAUUUUUAACGGUGAUCACACAUAAAUGAUGAUGAGAUACAUCUUACUUCCUUUAUUUUUUCCUUUUUUUAAAGUGAAAAAAUGAUGUAAUUUAUAUUGGGUUUCAAUCUUUUAUUUCUUUCUUUUUCUUCGUAUUUCAGUGAGUAAAGGGGAAAACUAAUAGAGAUGGAAAAAUCACUUUAUUUUGGGGUGAGCAAGUAACCUUUUUCACUAAAUCUUAUUAUAAGUGAAGUGAAAUGAGAGAAUGAUUGGAAUUAAUGAUUUCAACGGGCAUACAGGGAUUUACGUGAGUCUAGAAAUUAAAGCAGUUGCGAACUUAUCUAAACCAUUGUUGGUUUGGUUUCUUAAUUACGGAUGUAGUUUGAGAUUUUUAAUGAUACACUAUUAAUAGAACAUAAAAAGGGAGGGAAUCCAAGAAGAUAUGCUCAACUAAAGAUAAUGAGUUGAUCGUGGUAUGGCUACUAAGGGCUUUUCCAAUACAUUUGCUCUGAUUCAAGUUAUGAACCUUCUUGGAAUUGGUUCGGAUCACACUGUUAUCUCAAAAGCUUUGGAAGAUAUCUCCUAUGGUACGAAGAAGAGGAAAGUACACAGUGAUUCAGUUUGUAGAGUGUUUGGUCAAAGAUGAUAGGUGUAAUUCAGGGUGCACGAUGUGGACUAGAGGAAGAGGUGGUUGUUGAGAAAAACUGGAGGCAAUGCAAUCACACAAUGAAUUUACAGAGUAUAAAACUAGACGUGAUUCAUGCUGCUAUUAACUGCUCAUGUAUUUAGAAUUAUUGUGAAGUAGGGGCAUGGAUAAAACUGACAUACUCAGCUCCCAAUCUUCUGCUGGUGUCUAUAAAAAGCAGGUCCUGUGUUGAGAUUUCCUACCCGACAAGUAGUAAUACGACUGGAAGUAUUCCC
Molecule: long non-coding RNA, 1896 nt
Filed under: Medicago truncatula (barrel medic)
Lineage: Eukaryota; Viridiplantae; Streptophyta; Magnoliopsida; Fabales; Fabaceae
Description: lncRNA gene15699
Source: RNAcentral